Long non-coding RNA from Pecten maximus, 1482 nucleotides. RefSeq lists it as uncharacterized. The transcript is spliced from 2 exons. NCBI's taxonomy places the organism in Eukaryota, Metazoa, Mollusca, Bivalvia, Pectinida, Pectinidae. The record is from RefSeq and is a predicted model, not a curated record.
GCAGGGCAUCCAUUAACCCGAGACCUCGGGUCAAUGACGCAGCAAAAUUUAAUUUGACGCACGACUUUUGCAUGCCGUGCGUCAAUCUGACGCUUCACAUUUUGACCACCACUGUAAUUAGUCUAUGUGUUGUCCAAUACCCAGGCUCAACAAAGGGUAUAUUUGCUAUGGUCAGUGACACUAAUUAGUAGAAUACUCCUAGGAGUCAAUUAAAAGAGCCACUCAACUGUGACUGAUCCAACUGUCGCUGCCGUUUGCCAAAUUGGGCCAAAGUUGGAGAGGAAGGAGUGAUGAAAAAAAUAUUGCUGUCCGAGGGCACCCUACAGGAUACAAGGCCCAUUCGCUGCUACCAAAAGUAACGUGCACCGGGGUACAAUGGAGCGGUCACCCAUCAAACGACAUCCAACCGCACAACCAUAAAAAGCGGGACUAUGCAGCUGAAAUGCCCAUAUCUAUGAACCAUCGCAAAAACAUCCUGCCUCGCUGGGCCUCGUGCUCGCGACCACUUCCUCUCCGAGUGGACACCCCUGCCACUGGGCUAAAUGGAAAUUCUCGCUAGCCGGGCUAGUCGUGUGACCUUAUACUCUCCAUUUUAAGUUUCAAGUUACUCUGAUAAAGAGUCCGGUUUGAAAUUUUGAAGAACGUAUUUGCAUUUCAACUCAUGUCAACUUUUUAACAUUAAGGUAUAUACCUGCAAUCAUUAUCGAGGUUAAUUUCAAUUAAAUGUGCUUUCAGUACUCAUAAAGAGGAUAAUUUCUAGGAAUAUAUACCACCAUUUUCCAUGAUCAUGUGUCAGAACGCUGUAAUGAGUAGUUUUUGCCCGCCUUAGUUCAAACGUUGCACUCUUUCAAAUAUGGCUUCCUUUUUUGUGCAGACGACAAUAAUUUGCAAUGAAAUCGCUCGUUUCACGCAUGCACAACGCAUAUGGAAACCUCAAGUGACAACUGAUUGGUUGUCGAGUUAUGGAACAAUAUCACGCCAUUUUAUUCUAAAUGACAGGUAAUGUACAUUUCGGGGCGUGGUCUAUAAUGUAAUGGCGGCGUUGUCGGAUAAUUGCGUAAAGUUGGCGGUUUUAAUGAUAUCGAUCUUUGAUAACUUUAUAUGUAUGCAGAGACAUAUAUUUCAGAUAUCGGUUAAAAAGACAACGUCAAAUAUAGACGUCAAUAUUUGUUUGUAGAAUAUGCCAUAUUUAAUUUCCUUAGAACGUUUUGCACAUUAUCAUUUUCAAAGUGAUAUUUUGCCGAAAACAAUUAAAAUAUUUAAGUUACAAAUGUACCAUAGCUACCUACUAGCACCAUAUUUUAAGUUCUCUGAGAUGUAUUAUAUCCGGCCAUAUAUACCGGUGUAUAGGAGAAGACAUACAUGUACAUAGGCCAGAGACCUAUAUACUAAAUUAAAUAAAUUAAUAUACGUGUAGGUCUCUGACAUAGGCUAAGCUCAUCUUUUGUAGAAAUUUCGUUCAAUAAAAUUUGUUGAAAAAGU